RNAcentral lists this ribosomal RNA (505 nucleotides) under uncultured Nitrospira sp. RNAcentral's name for it is "bacterial SSU rRNA". It matches the Rfam family "Bacterial small subunit ribosomal RNA", at positions 373 to 896 of the family's 1533-position model. The record is from RNAcentral. Lineage: Bacteria; Pseudomonadati; Nitrospirota; Nitrospiria; Nitrospirales; Nitrospiraceae.
GGGCGAAAGCCUGAUGCAGCGACGCCGCGUGGAGGAUGAAGGCCUUCGGGUUGUAAACUCCUUUUGUAGGGGAAGAUAAUGACGGUACCCUACGAAUAAGCCACGGCUAACUCUGUGCCAGCAGCCGCGGUAAGACAGAGGUGGCAAGCGUUGUUCGGAAUUACUGGGCUUAAAGGGCGCGUAGGUGGUGGAGUAAGUCUGAAGUGGAAUCUCGCAGCUUAACUGCGGAACUGCUUUGGAAACUGCUUUACUUGAGUCAGCGAGGGGAAGGCGGAAUUCCUGGUGUAGCGGUGAAAUGCGUAGAUAUCAGGAGGAAGGCCUGUGGUGAAGACGGCCUUCUGGCGCUGCACUGACACUGAGGCGCGAAAGCGUGGGGAGCAAACAGGAUUAGAUACCCUGGUAGUCCACGCCCUAAACGGUGGGCACUAGGUGUGGGAUCUGUAAGGGUUCCGUGCCGAAGGGAAACCAUUAAGUGCCCCGCCUGGGAAGUACGGCCGCAAGGUUG